RNAcentral lists this ribosomal RNA (910 nucleotides) under uncultured archaeon. Its description in RNAcentral is "bacterial SSU rRNA". It matches the Rfam family "Archaeal small subunit ribosomal RNA", at positions 29 to 922 of the family's 1478-position model. The record is from RNAcentral.
ACUGGGGGUGGGAUAGAAUGCGAGUCGAGCGUCUCUAGCUAUGUUGAGACGCGGCAUACGGCUCAGUAACACGUGGCUAACCUACCCUCAGGACGGGGACAAACCCGGGAAACUGGGGCUAAUAUCCGAUAGGCGAGGAAUCCUGGAAUGGUUCUUCACCCAAAGGACAUUGGAAACAUGCUUUCUCUGUCGCCUGGGGAUGGGGCCGCGUCCGAUCAGGUUGUUGGUGAGGUAAUGGCUCACCAAGCCUUUAACCGGUACGGGCCGUGAGAGCGGUAGCCCGGAGAUGGGUACUGAGACAAGGACCCAGGCCCUACGGGGCGCAGCAGUCGCGAAAACUCCGCAAUGCACGAAAGUGUGACGGGGCUACCCCGAGUGCCGUCCGCUGAGGAUGGCUUUUCCUUGGUGUAACUAGCCGGGGGAAUAAGGAGAGGGCAAGACUGGUGUCAGCCGCCGCGGUAAUACCAGCUCUCCGAGUGGUAGGGAUGAUUAUUGGGCUUAAAGCGUCCGUAGCCGGCUUAGCAAGUUUCCUGUUAAAUUCAGCGACCUAAUCGUUGAGCCGCGGGAAAUACUACUAGGCUAGGAGGCGGGAGAGGUCGACGGUACUUCUGGGGUAGGGGUGAAAUCCUAUAAUCCCGGGAGGACCACCAGUGGCGAAGGCUGUCGACUAGAACGCGCUCGACGGUGAGGGACGAAAGCUGGGGGAGCGAACCGGAUUAGAUACCCGGGUAGUCCCAGCUGUAAACGAUGCGGGCUAGGUGUUGGGGUGGCUACGUGCCACUUCAGUGCCGCAGGGAAGCCAUUAAGCCCGCCGCCUGGGGAGUACGGCCGCAAGGCUGAAACUUAAAGGAAUUGGCGGGGGAGCACCACAAGGCGUGAAGCUUGCGGUUCAAUUGGAUUCAACGCCGGG